This 240-nucleotide unclassified non-coding RNA is filed under the name soil metagenome. RNAcentral describes it as "partial contains 5.8S ribosomal RNA, internal transcribed spacer 2, and large subunit ribosomal RNA". The record is from RNAcentral.
AACAUCGCGCACCUGCGGGAACCUGCGGAGGGAUCAUUAAUUAAGACGAUGCCCUUCUUAGGGAACUCCUCCCGGCAUUUGCCGGGUGCACUCACCUCUCCUUGUGAAUAGACCUAUUGCUUUGGUAGCAUCCUACCAGUUGGGUUGUUAGCCUACCUCUAGCUUACAAUAAAAUCUCUGUGAUAUUCUGUGAGAUGUCUGAAAAGAAACAGUAAAUUUUACAAAACUUUUAACAAUGGA